RNAcentral lists this ribosomal RNA (468 nucleotides) under uncultured bacterium. RNAcentral's name for it is "partial 16S ribosomal RNA". It matches the Rfam family "Bacterial small subunit ribosomal RNA", at positions 28 to 507 of the family's 1533-position model. The record is from RNAcentral.
GACGAACGCUGGCGGCGGGCUUAACACAUGCAAGUCGAACGGAAAGGCCCUGCUUGUGUGGGGUGCUCGAGGGGCGAACGGGGGAGGAACACGUGAGUAACCUGCCCUUGACUUUGGGAUAACUUCAGGAAACUGGGGCUAAUACCGGAUAGGAGCUCCUGCUGCAUGGUGGGGGUUGGAAAGUUUCGGCGGUUGGGGAUGGACUCGCGGCUUAUCAGCUUGUUGGUGGGGGAGUGGCUUACCAAGGCUUUGACGGGUAGCCGGCCUGAGAGGGUGACCGGCGACAUGGGGACUGAGAUACGGCGCAGUCGCCUACGGUAGGCAGCAGUGGGGAAUAUUGCACAAUGGGCGGAAGCCUGAUGAAGCAACGCUGCGUGCGGGAUGACGGCCUUCGGGUUGUAAACCGCUUUCGCCUGUGACGAAGCGUGAGUGACGGUAAUGGGUAAAGAAGCACCGGCUAACUACGUG